GAUGAAGAACGCAGCGAAAUGCGAUAAGUAAUGUGAAUUGCAGAAUUCAGUGAAUCAUCGAAUCUUUGAACGCACCUUGCGCCCUUUGGCCAUUCCGAAGGGCAUGCCUGUUUGAGUAUCAUGAACACCUCAACUCUUCAUGGUUUUCCGUGAUGAGCUUGGACUUUGGGGGUCUUGCUGGCCUAUGGUCAGCUCCUCUAAAAUAAAUCAGCUUGCCAGUGUUUGGUGGGUAUCACAGGUGUGAUAACUAUCUACGCUUGUGGUUUUCCACCAGGUAACCUUCAGCAGUGGAGGUUCGCUGGAGCUCACAGAUGUGUCUCUCCUCAGUGAGGACAGCUCUUUGAAUGUUUGAUCUCAAAUCAGGUAGGACUACCCGCUGAACUUAAGCAUAUCAAUAAGCGGAGGA
This 406-nucleotide unclassified non-coding RNA is filed under the name soil metagenome. RNAcentral's name for it is "partial contains 5.8S ribosomal RNA, internal transcribed spacer 2, and large subunit ribosomal RNA". The stretch from base 1 to 121 matches the Rfam family "5.8S ribosomal RNA", at positions 35 to 154 of the family's 154-position model. The record is from RNAcentral.